GACAGAGGGUGCAAACGUUGUUCGGAAUUACUGGGCGUAAAGCGCGUGUAGGCUGCUCGGAAAGUCGGAUGUGAAAGCCCUGGGCUUAACCUAGGAAGUGCAUUCGAAACUUCCGAGCUGGAGUUCUGGAGAGGAAGGCGGAAUUCUCGGUGUAGAGGUGAAAUUCGUAGAUAUCGAGAGGAACACCGGUGGCGAAGGCGGCCUUCUGGACAGUGACUGACGCUGAUGCACGAAGGCCAGGGGAGCAAACGGG
RNAcentral lists this ribosomal RNA (253 nucleotides) under uncultured bacterium. RNAcentral's name for it is "partial 16S ribosomal RNA". It matches the Rfam family "Bacterial small subunit ribosomal RNA", at positions 524 to 776 of the family's 1533-position model. The record is from RNAcentral.